This 253-nucleotide ribosomal RNA is filed under the name uncultured bacterium. Its description in RNAcentral is "partial 16S ribosomal RNA". It matches the Rfam family "Bacterial small subunit ribosomal RNA", at positions 524 to 776 of the family's 1533-position model. The record is from RNAcentral.
UACGUAGGGACCAAGCGUUGUUCGGAUUUACUGGGCGUAAAGGGCGCGUAGGCGGCGUGACAAGUCACUUGUGAAAUCUCUGGGCUUAACCCAGAACGGCCAAGUGAAACUGUUGUGCUAGAGUGCAGAAGGGGCAAUCGGAAUUCUCGGUGUAGCGGUGAAAUGCGUAGAUAUCGGGAGGAACACCUGUGGCGAAGGCAGCUCGCUGGGACGGUACUGACGCUGAGGCGCGAAAGCGUGGGGAGCAAACAGG